GAUGAAGAACGUAGCGAAAUGCGAUAAGUAAUGUGAAUUGCAGAAUUCAGUGAAUCAUCGAAUCUUUGAACGCACCUUGCGCCCUUUGGCCAUUCCGAAGGGCAUGCCUGUUUGAGUAUCAUGAACACCUCAACUCUUCAUGGUCUUCUAUGAUGAGCUUGGACUUUGGGGGCUUGCUGGCCCAUUUGGUCAGCUCCUCUCAAAUAAAUCAGCCUACCAGUGUUUGGUGGCACCACAGGUGUGAUAACAAUCUACGCUUGAGGUUUUCCACCAGGCAACCUUCAGUAAUUGGGGUUCACUGGGGCUCACAAAUGUCUUUCUUCAGUGAGGACAGCUCUUUGAAUGUUUGAUCUCAAAUCAGGUAGGACUACCCGCUGAACUUAAGCAUAUCAAUAAGCGGAGGA
Molecule: unclassified non-coding RNA, 404 nt
Filed under: soil metagenome
Description: partial contains 5.8S ribosomal RNA, internal transcribed spacer 2, and large subunit ribosomal RNA
Rfam family: 5.8S ribosomal RNA (bases 1-121)
Source: RNAcentral